AACGAACGCUGGCGGCGUGCCUAACACAUGCAAGUCGAACGCGAAAGAGGGGCAACCCUCGAGUAGAGUGGCGCACGGGUGAGUAACACGUGGGUAACCUACCCUUGAGAUCGGAACAACCAGGGGAAACUCUGGCUAAUGCCGGAUACGCGCCCGAUGGUCUCGGCCGUCGGGUGGAAUGGGUGGCCUAUGCUUGCACGCUACCGCUCUUGGAUGGGCCCGCGGCCCAUUAGCUAGUUGGUGAGGUAACGGCUCACCAAGGCAGUGAUGGGUAGCUGGUCUGAGAGGAUGAUCAGCCACACUGGGACUGAAACACGGCCCAGACUCCUACGGGAGGCAGCAGUGGGGAAUUUUGCGCAAUGGGGGAAACCCUGACGCAGCAACGCCGCGUGGGUGAUGAAGGCCCUCGGGUCGUAAACUGCUUUUAUAUGUGAAGAUUAUGACGGUAGCAUAUGAAUAAGGAUCGGCUAACUACGUGCCAGCAGCCGCGGU
Molecule: ribosomal RNA, 492 nt
Filed under: uncultured bacterium
Lineage: Bacteria
Description: bacterial SSU rRNA
Rfam family: Bacterial small subunit ribosomal RNA
Source: RNAcentral